Molecule: RNA transcript, 614 nt
Organism: Tribolium castaneum (red flour beetle)
Lineage: Eukaryota; Metazoa; Arthropoda; Insecta; Coleoptera; Tenebrionidae
Exons: 2
Source: RefSeq, a predicted model, not a curated record
CAAAAAAAUAAAUCGUUGUUAUAAAGUAAUAAUGGUGUCAAAAUUAGAAAAAAAUGCUUAUCAAUGCGAUAAAAAAUUAUAUAAACUGGCAAAAGUAGAAUAGAAUGACCAGUUAAUUAAGCCGUGCAUUACAAAUGAUGAAGCUUUUACUUGUGGGCCUUUUCCUGGCCCUCACCUUACAAAUCUCCCUCUCAACAACAAUCCGCAACAUCCAAAAGCGCCAAAUUUGCUCAAGCAGUGGUUGCAACUCUUGCGACGGUCGCAGCUGCAACAGCUGCAGCAGCAACAACGUGUGUUGUUCCAGCAUAAGUUGCAACCAGUGCGUUAACCAAUGCGCCAACGACUGCAGCACAAAACAAUGCACAAAUUACUGUGUUCAAGGCUGCCAAACCUCCUGCCAGAAUCAACCACAAUCCUGCAACACCCAAUCGUGUUCUUCGUGCGUCAACAGAUGCUCCAGCCAAUGCUCAACCAAUCAAUGCAUCAACAGUUGCGCCAACAAGUGCCAAUAAAUGUAAUAAUUUAAAAAUGACGAUUAGCUAAUAACGUAAAAACCCACAAUUAUUGUUUCCUGUUCCAUUGCAACAUUUUUUAAUAAAAAAUAAUAAUAAUAA